AAUUUGAGUUUCAUUACAGAAAUGUAUACCAAAUUUUCAGUGGAAACAAUAGAUCACCAUCAUAAGAAACACAAAGUGAAUGGACAAGCCAUAUUAAGCAUCAGGGGAAAUGCAUGCACAGGAAAAAGAACACUUCUUCAGUUGUUCGACACACAGCCUGCAAUGUGCUUGACACAAUCCAUCCUCUACUUCAUGAAUUGGGAAGAGGAAAUGCUACUUGUUUUUCUUGAGGAGACUUGAUGUUCUAAACUCAGCAUCAUCCCUGACAAAGCUCCACCAAAGGUACGCAAGUGGGAUGGUACUUGCAUGCCAAAGAGCGUGUGCAUCAACAAAUCCGUGAUAUGGUGGGAAGUCGUAUAUUUCCAAGAGCAUGGCAAGACCUCCACCCACAACCACCACCCACAACUUCCACUGGGAUGGAUGUCGAGUGAAACCUGCCCAAACUGCCCAAAUGAGUAGCUGAGCUACACCCAUGGCUCCACAAACUUUCAUGUUCAGGCCAUAAUCAAGAUUAUAGAAGUUCAGAUACAUGAUAUGCGUCGUAAGAAAUGCAAUCAAAGGAGCCGCAACCAUGAUCCUUGCAGCCUCAUCUCUCAC
This 597-nucleotide unclassified non-coding RNA is filed under the name Hevea brasiliensis (rubber tree). The record is from RNAcentral. Lineage: Eukaryota; Viridiplantae; Streptophyta; Magnoliopsida; Malpighiales; Euphorbiaceae.